GCUGAGAGUAAACACAUAAAAGAAUGGUGAGAGAAUUAAAACCUGAUUUCUCAACAAAUAGGUGAAUUGAUGCGUUAGUAUACACAUUAGUCAAGCAUGUGACUAUUUAAAUCUUUGUGAAUCAAAAGAUAUUAGUCAUUUGUACUUUGAUCGGAAAAAGAAACAGUCAAAGUUAAAUUAGUGUAACAAAAAGGAAGCAAGUAUGGUGAAUUUUGAAAAACGUAAGAUUCAAACGAUGAAAAGUUAUUUGGAAGAUUGCAAACAUUUGUUAAAAUGUAUUAAAAUUCUUUGAUGCUGAUAAAAUGCACCCACAUAUUGGCUUUUGUGGAAUAGAUAUCUAAUUUGACGUUGUUUUCUCAUCUCACAACUUUUAUCUUCUACUUACGAUCCUGUAAGACUCAGAGAAAGUUCGAACAAUAGAUAUUCAACUCUAAUUCGAUUAGAAAGAAUGCCUCAAAGGGAAACUUUUAUAUAUGUGCUCCAAAGCAUCAUCAACUUCCAAAGGAUCAUCAACAAGAUAUUUGUUUAGCUAUAACUAAAAAUGAAGAGUUUAAUCGAUUUGAAGCUGUUACGGAAAUAUUUUACGAAACAAAUACGUUGCAACAAUGGAGACUUGAAGGUAAAGAAUUAAAAAAACGUGGCUUUUAUGGAUACACGUCACUGUUCCGAGUUUAAAGACAAUUUUGUUCUGUCAACUUGCAACUCAAAGAAUUCCAAUAAAAACGUUGAGAUUAUCAAUAGUAUUUUUUAAACAACUGUGAAAUGGUUAAUGUCAAACCAAACUAUUUUUAUUACACAAUAAUAAAUUGUAUACAAAC
This is a long non-coding RNA of Hydra vulgaris (swiftwater hydra), 818 nucleotides long. RefSeq lists it as uncharacterized. The record is from RefSeq and is a predicted model, not a curated record. NCBI's taxonomy places the organism in Eukaryota, Metazoa, Cnidaria, Hydrozoa, Anthoathecata, Hydridae.